CGACACACUAUCGUUAACUGAAUACAUAGGUUAACGAGGCGAACCGGGGGAACUGAAACAUCUAAGUACCCCGAGGAAAAGAAAUCAACCGAGAUUCCCCCAGUAGCGGCGAGCGAACGGGGAGCAGCCCGGAGUCUGAAUCAGCUUGUGUGUUAGUGGAACGGUCUGGAAAGUCCGACGGUACAGGGUGAUAGUCCCGUACACGAAAA
This 209-nucleotide ribosomal RNA is filed under the name Enterobacter hormaechei. RNAcentral's name for it is "partial 23S ribosomal RNA". It matches the Rfam family "Bacterial large subunit ribosomal RNA", at positions 141 to 385 of the family's 2925-position model. The record is from RNAcentral. Lineage: Bacteria; Pseudomonadati; Pseudomonadota; Gammaproteobacteria; Enterobacterales; Enterobacteriaceae. RNAcentral also lists the same sequence under 2 other names.